Molecule: transfer RNA, 83 nt
Filed under: Mycoplasma marinum
Lineage: Bacteria; Bacillati; Mycoplasmatota; Mollicutes; Mycoplasmatales; Mycoplasmataceae
Description: tRNA-Leu
Rfam family: tRNA
About the family: Transfer RNA (tRNA) molecules are approximately 80 nucleotides in length. Their secondary structure includes four short double-helical elements and three loops (D, anti-codon, and T loops).
Source: RNAcentral
GCCCGCGUGAUGGAAUGGUAGACAUGAGAGAUUCAAACCCUCUUGCCUCGUGCGUGCUGGUUCAAGUCCAGUCGCGGGUACCA